This 1413-nucleotide ribosomal RNA is filed under the name Staphylococcus epidermidis. RNAcentral describes it as "bacterial SSU rRNA". It matches the Rfam family "Bacterial small subunit ribosomal RNA". Lineage: Bacteria; Bacillati; Bacillota; Bacilli; Caryophanales; Staphylococcaceae. The record is from RNAcentral.
UACAGCAUGCGGCGGCUAUAAUGCAGUCGAGCGACAGACCAGGAGCUUGCUCCUCUGACGUUACGGCGGACGGGUGAGUAACACGUGGAUAACCUACCUAUAAGACUGGGAUAACUUCGGGAAACCGGAGCUAAUACCGGAUAAUAUAUUGAACCGCAUGGGUCAAUAAUGAAAGACGGUUUUGCUGUCACUUAUAGAUGGAUCCGCGCCGCUAUUAGAUAGUUGGUAAGGUAACGGCUUACACAAGGCAACGAUGCGUAGCCGACCUGAGGAGGGUGAUCGGCCACACUGGAACUGAGACACGGUCCAGACUCCUACGGGAGGCAACAUUAGGGAAUCUUCCGCAAUGGGCGAAAGCCUGACGGAGCAACGCCGCGUGAGUGAUGAAGGUCUUCGGAUCGUAAAACUCUGUUAUUAGGGAAGAACAAAUGUGUAAGUAACUAUGCACGUCUUGACGGUACCUAAUCAGAAAGCCACGGCUAACUACGUGCCAGCAGCCGCGGUAAUACGUAGGUGGCAAGCGUUAUCCGGAAUUAUUGGGCGUAAAGCGCGCGUAAGCGGCUUUUUAAGUCUGAUGUGAAAGCCCACGGCUCAACCGUGGAGGGUCAUUGGAAACUGGAAAAGUUGAGUGCAGAAGAGGAAAGUGGAAUUCCAUGUGUAGCGGUGAAAUGCGCAGAGAUAUGGAGGAACACCAGUGGCGAAGGAGACUUUCUGGUCUGAAACUGACGCUGAUGUGCGAAAGCGUGGGGAUCAAACAGGAUUAGAUACCCUGGUAGUCCACGCCGUAAACGAUGAGUGCUAAGUGUUAGGGGGUUUCCGCCCCUUAGUGCUGCAGCUAACGCAUUAAGCACUCCGUCUGGGGAGUACGACCGCAAGGUUGAAACUCACAGGAAUUGACGAGGACUCGCACAAGCGGUGGAGAAUGUGGCUUAGUUCGAAGCACGCGAAGAACCUUACCAAAUCUUGACAUCCUCUGACCCCUCUAAAGAUAGAGUUUUCCCCUUCGGGGACUCAGUGACAGGAGGGGCAUGUUAGUCCCCAACUCGAGUCCAGACAUGUUGGAUUAAGUCCCGCCACGAAGGCCGCCAUUAAGGUGAAUUGGCAUCAUUAAAAUGGGCACUCAAAGUUGAAUGACGGUGAACAACCGGAGGAAGGGGGGGAUGACCUCCAAUCAUCUUGCCCCUUAUGAUUUGGGCUACCCCCUGCCUCAAGGGAAAUUCAAACGCAAAGGUAUCCCCUAGGUCAGAUAAAUGCCAAUAAGUUGUUCUCAGUUCGAAUGGAAUCGGCAAUCCGCCAAUUUGAAGCGGGAUCCGCAAUAAAUUUUCAACAUCAGGUUAACGGGAAACCCUUACUAGGAUGUGGGCAACCGCCCGGUCCCCGGGCAAUUUUUACGCACAAAGCCCGGGGAAUCCA